CACCACAUAACCCUUAUCUCUUCCUCUUAGCCCCCAAAUCUAUUUUUCUCUCCACCUUGUUCUUGCUCUCCACCUUGUUUCUUCUUCCUCCACCAUUAUUUUCCUCCUCUAAAAAAUCAAUGUAUCCACUCCAUCAUUCACUCAAAGGAUCAAUGGUGUUAGAAAAUGUUAUGGAAGACGAAUGUGUCAAACGUUAUACAUUUGUUUGGUUGGAGGCUUAUGCUUAAGAAGUUACCUACAAGAUUUGAAUUGCAAAGAAGGGGUUCAUUUAGGGCAACUGUAACUUGGUAUUUCCUUGAAAGCCCUUGAUGGUUAAUUCCAAGGCAUGAGAUAAGGAUUUUACCCGAAAACAGCCGUUACUCUGCCCGAUUUUCGUCAGAAUCUUAAUGUGCUUAAUGAAAAGUGGUGCUAAGACAAUAAGUUCAUCUGGAUCCCCAAGUGUUAAUGUGUUGGUAUUGAUAAAUCCAAAGGAUGGGAAAACUACAUUGACUCUUAAUGUCAAGUGUUGGCUUCUUAUUUGGUUAGACCGUUUCUUUCCUUAGCUUUUAUUUUAUGCACUAGGUUAGCCUCUUCAUCUCCUCCCACUUCUUAGAUUUUCAAAAUCUUCUCCCUUUUUCCAAAAUAUUCUUAUGUUUGCAAUCUUUUCAAAACUUUUUCUUUAAAAAUAUCUUUCGCCCUUAGUGGAUUUUCUUCAAAAGUUUAGACACCGUUAAUCGUCGAAACGAGUGGUUAUACCCCACGAUUUUGAAAUUGAUUGAUAUAAUGAGAUCUUUUCCGUGUGAGAGAGCUAGUGGCAUACUCGUCGAUUUUAUCCGAGUUGGAGCCCUUCUUUCCUUUGCGAUGCAAAGAACUCGUUUGUUCUCAUGCUCAAGAUCAAUGGCUGAGUAUUUCUCUCUGACGACGAUAAAGUGUUUAUUCGUUUUUAAAAAUGUUUUCCCAAAAAAGCGGAACUACAUUAGCUCUGACUUCUCCAUUGCACCGAGAAGGUAUGUAGGCCCAAAGCUAAACGCUUUGCCGAGCUUAUUUUAAAAAUAAAACAAACUCUUUUUUUAGCACACACACACAGAUUUUCAAAAAGGUUCCCGUGGAGUACCACGGAUAUGAGGGGUGCUUUAAACCUUCCCCUCAUAUAAUCAACACCCGUACCUGAGAUCUCUUUCUUGUUUUAAAAAAACAAAACUUUGGGUUUUACGUUCUUUUCCCUUUUCCUUUGAAAAAAUAAAGCGCGGUGGCGAUUUCAAACGGAAUAUUGAUUCGAGUCAAUUUCAUGGCUUCGAUAUCAGAUUUUCCCCGCUACAGAAAAAUGGCGACUUCACUGGGGAUCCAGUUUUAAGUGUGUUAAGCCUAUUUUUGUUUAUCUGUGUGUUUUUUAUUUGUAUAUAUUGUUGUGUGCUUUGUUUUUUUGUUUAUUUUCUUUUUUCUUUUUGGUGCUCGAUGGUUCCUCUGUGAUGAGAUAAAGUUCUAACCCGGACUUUGGUGAGUAACUUGAGAUAGGAGGUGGUAAGACCAAUAGUCGCAUGUCAGGCGCAAUCCUUACCAUGAGCGUCAUAUGGUGGAACCCCAAUCAGUGGAGGCCUCAUGGAAGGUAGUAGAGGUUGUUACGAACCAUCGUGAUAACGCUAUUACUUUCAAUAGUGAGUGUCCGUAGAAGCUGAAUGGCCUAGAACCUUUUAACCCAUCUAAGCCUUUUUAGGAUGUAGUGCAGAAACAAGAUCAAGUACCAAUUUGAGCUUGUUGUCAUGCGAUACUACGCUCAGACGAGGUCUUUUUAGGCAUAUUAUUGGCGCCCAUGAGCAAUUGUGCGUGCCGGUAAUAUCCGAUAGAAGAUUGAAAACUCUAGGAACCUUUGUAGAACCCGAUCGGCAGGUACAAAAUUCCUUAGAUCAUACCUUGUGGGAUGGUUAGACCCAUGGCUCCAUGCUCGUGACGUCGAACCUUUGAACUAUGAUCUUAUGUGACCUUGCGUGCUAUUGGUUGUGGUUGAUGCAUAAAUCAUGCAUUCAUGCAUCCAUGAAAACUCUUUUUCUUUUGAUUUUCAAGGAACUUAGACGUCUUUCCUUGUAAACAUCAUAAGUUUCAUCAAACUCAAUGGAUCUUGGGUGUUGAUGGGGUGAAAACUCUAAUCCACCAAAAUGGAUGAUUGAUUUUGAUGAUAACUUACUCAAAGCUUUAGCCCAAUGUUUGAGUGUUUACAAGUUAAUAUCUUAAGUUCCUUGAAACUCAAAAAUUAAAAUAAAAUAAAAAAACAAAUUACUGCAUUGCAUGCAUCAUUCUGCAUUUGUUUCUGCUUUCUAAAGAAGUUUUCCAGAGCCUUAUUUCCUUUCUCCUGGUAUCAUCAGUACAACACUCUUACUAAGAAGAAAUGGAAAGUAUCAAACAAGAGAUUCUCGAGCUCCGUGAAGAGGUGGUUACUCUGAAGGCUGGUAUGAAGCAUCUGACUACUCUGGUUGAGGCUCUAGUUACUGCCCAAAUCAAUCCUUCUAUGAAGGAAGAAAGGAUGGCAAAGGUCUUUCUUGAAACUCUGAACUCAUCCUUUCCUAAGGGGAUAGUAGUCCAUACACCUACUGACUUCCACAGAGAGGUGGAUAUGAAAGCGCUUCUAGAAAAGGAUGUCCGAAAGGAAUGUUUGUUUGAAGAAGGUAACUCAACUGGUAGUGUGAAGAAGUUUGGUAAUGACUUUUCAAAGAAGAGAAUCAGGGGAGGAAACAAUUAUCACCAACAUCAGCAUGUUUCCUAUGUCAUUCCUGUAUCCAAUUCAGUUCAUACAAUCCCAGAUUAUCAGCAGAGUACUCGUCAACAAGAUUCUCCACCGAACGAGCAAAAUCAACUUCAAAAGGGGAAUUUUGAUCCUAUCCCCAUGACUUACGCAGAAUUGUUCCCUACUCUAGUUCAUAAGAAUUUGGUUCAGACAAGGUCACCACCUCCAAUUCCCGAGAAGAUUCCUUGGUGGUACAAUGCUAAUGUCACUUGUGCUUUUCAUCAGAAUGCUCCUGGACAUGACUUAGAUAAUUGUUGGCCUCUAAAAAAUGAAGUUCAAAGAUUAAUCCAUGCUGGUAUUUUGACUUUCCAAGAUGUUGGUUAUGAUGUUCAAGCCAAUUCUUUGCCAAAGCAUGAUUGAAUCACUAUUGAUGGUAGCCUGAAGCUCGAAAGAUGUUUCGUUCAGCAUAUGCCCAGAUGGAGAGAGUUUUUCUCAGUUUUUAGUAUUCUUAUUGAUUUCCAUUUGUAAUAUUUCUUGUUUUUCAAUGCAUUGUUUGCAUGUAGAAACUUGUUUAUUUUUGAAUGUUAAUGCUAAUACAAUGAUAAUGUUUGUCUUGAAGUAAUCCAUUCGUUUCACUCAUGUUUAUUUGUUUUUAUGCAUUAUGAUACCAAUUACUUUUGCCAAACUCUUGCUUAUGCAAAGAUUGGAAGGAGGAUGAUGAUCUGAAAACGCAAAAUUUCUGGUUGUAUGCUUUUGAAUAAGACCCUGCUGAUGAUGUACAGGCAUUGUUUCAAAUUCCCAAACACCGGAGAUAUAAGGAAGAUAAUCCCUUGUUAACCCCUUUUGAGCCUUGAAGUAGGAGUUUCUUUUCUAAACGAAAAAUCCUAAUUUUUAACCUGGGGCAGGGUAGUGUUCAGUUGAUUGGACCGAGUGUUCAUAUUUCAAAAAGGAUUGUGCAUCCAAAGGUCAAGCAUGUCAUAUCCACAUCAAAGGAUGGAUCAUGGGAAACCACAAUGGUUAUUCCCCGCGCAUCAAAAGGCAUGGAAAUGUGAAACCACAAUGGUUAUCCUCCAUACGCCAAGUAGCGAGGCAGUCACAACCCUCUCAACAAGUCAAGACAAAGUCAAUGUCACACGAUUUGUUCAAAUCAAAAGAAUAAAAGGGAAAGGAAAAAGAAAGAAGAAGAAAAAAAAAGCUCGCUAAGUCAGAAACUUGAAAAUAAAUGACUUAGGCAAAAGUUAGAGCAUCCCGCUGGACGACCAAUUCAAAAGAAUCAGUCCAGGCAAAAGUUAGGGAAAUAAAAAAAAAAGAGAAAAGAGUGAAAAGUGAAAAGAAAGGACUACAAAGCAAAAGUCCUCAAAAAUGAACAAAUUUGUGUGAAUACAAAAAUGAAGACAAAGAGGUGACUGCUACUCCCAAGAAAGCUUCAUUAGGUCCUUAUUGGCACAAAAUCCUUUUGAGAGAUGAAUACUCAUGUUGAGUUAACUGAACAUAGGACUGGAGAACAUCACGAAGAUGGGGUGGGCUAAAUAAACUUUGAGCCUAAUAAUCUUUUUUUCUGAAAACCGUGAACCAGGCCACGUUACAACCCUCAAAAGUCCUAAUUGAAGCAGGGUUUAUUUCGAGAGCAUACUUAAACAGGAAAGCGUUCCUGACUCCUAUCAGUUAUGCUGAAAACUUGUGUUGGUAUCAUAUGCAUACAAAAAUCAAUGUCAUUCCUUAACCAGUGAUUCAUUCACAAGGUUUUGUGACAUCUUUUCAAUAAAACUUCAAGACUUACAUAAUUGUUGCAUUUUCAUUAUCAUUCUCAGAAUAAACAUUUUUCUGCUUGUAAACAUUUGUUUGACAUCCAGGAAGUUUACAUCUGAUCAUCAGUAGAAAACUAAAACAUUGCCAGGGGCAUGUUGUUUUCCCAGUAUAAUGCUUUUGCAAGUUUGAUUACCAUCAUGGGGCAAAGCUCGAAGACUUUGUCGAGUAAAAGAAUGUGCCAAGUUUAGUCAAUCUGGGGCAGCUACGUCGAGAUUCGACAAAUCUCUCCAAGAAUCUGUUGAUCUGGGGCAGAUUAUUCCAAGUCUUCAUGAUGCCAAGGAUCUCUAUGAACCUUUUUGAGGUAGUUUCCUUUCAUAGACCACGUAGUCUGGGGCAAGUUGUGAAUCAGAAGUUACCUUGAUCACCUCAUUAUCUUGAAGUACAAAGGUUGUUGCCAUGAUCAAUCCAGAGUAUGUCACUUUCUACCAAGAAGUUUUGAGACAACGGUUGACUGUUGGGUUUUCUUUCUCACCUUGUGUUGAGUUUUGAACUAAAAUCCCCCGCAUGUUAACUUGUUUGCUUUGAUGUUAACUUCUUAUUUCCUCUGCAAGUUCGGAAUGGAGAUUUUCUCCAAAGAAAUUUUCUCUGAUUCCCCCUAAUAGAGCUUGAUGUGUUGUCCAACCUUUUUGAUAAGAAGAAGAUUAUCUGUAAAUUCCUCGCAGAAAUUGAUAAUCCCCACUGAGUUUGUUCUUCGUGGAAGAAUUUUUCUUCAGUGUUCCUCCUCAGCUCAUUUGUCAGGACGGAAUUAAUCCCCAGUUGAGUUUAUUCCUCAAGGUGCAAAGCUUUGUUUGACCGCUUCUAUCCAGUUUGUUCUUGGAGUUGAACUUUGGUCUCUUGCAAUACUAUUUUGAACCUCUCUAGGCUGGGAAGCCUAGAUUGAGGAGGCAUUUAUUUUGCAUCUCUUGAGGAUUCUGCUUUCCUCAACAAUGGAAAAUUCAUUUGUGAUUGAUGUUCUUAUCAGAUAUUGAAAGGCUUAUUUCCCGGCAGUGUUGUCAUUGCACUCCGUUGGAAUUUGUACUUGAAAGCAAGGGGCAGGUUCUGUCCUUAGCAUGUUUUGUUGACAACAAAUGCAAGCCUCUUUAUUUGAGCAAGUUUGUAUGUCUCCACAUAUUAAUCUUAUCUUCCAAUCAAGUGAUAAUCUCUCAUACUUUAUGAACUUCUUGAUUCCAAGUGGAAGAAGCUCAGCAAAUGGUAAGUCUCUUCAGUGUAAGUGACAGUUUGCAUCCAAAUGGAAGAAGCUCAGCAAAUGGUAAGUCCCUUCAUCAGAGGUGACAGUUUGCAUCCAAUUCCUUUUCUCAAGCCAUGUCCUUGAUUAAAGAAGAAGUUGAUCCCUAUUCUUAGCGGCAGCUUAUUAUUCUCAGUAGUUUAUCGUCAACUAUUGAGGCGGUAAUUCAAUUUCCUUCUACCUUCAACUAUUGAGUUGGUAGCUUAUCGUCAAUCAUUGAGGCGGUAAUUCGAUCUUCUUCUACCUUCAACCAUUGAGUUGGUAGCUUAUCGUCAACCAUUGAGGCGGUAAUUCAAUUUUCUUCUACCUUCAACUAUUGAGUUGGUAGUUUAUCGUCAACUAUUCAGGCGGUAAUUCGAUCUUCUUCUACCUUCAACCAUUGAGUUGGUAGCUUAUCGUCAACUAUUCAGGCGGUAAUUCAAUUUCCUUCUACCUUCAACUAUUGAGUUGGUAGCUUAUCGUCAACCAUUGAGGCGGUAAUUCGAUCUUCUUCUACCUUCAACCAUUGAGUUGGUAGCUUAUCGUCAACUAUUGAGACGGUGAUUCGAUUUUCUUCUACCUUCAACUAUUGAGUAAGAGGAUGGUCCACAAAUCAAAAUCUUAUCGUCAGUGGUACGGCGGUACAUCUCUUCAUAUCAUCAAUGGUACGAUGGUGUGUUUUCUGUUAACAGAAGAUUGGCAUUCUGAUUCAGGAUGCAUAUUUUCUCAUCCCCAAUGAAAGAGGAUGAUCCCCUUUUCUCAUCCCCACUGAAAGAGGAUGCUAUAACCUCUCUGACGCGAAGUGUUUUCCCCAGAGAAGUUUCUUUUCCCACUAAAGUUCCGUCUCUCCAACAAAGUCUUGCCUUCCCCAGUGGAGUUUCUAAGACGUUUGUUUCCCCAGCGGAGUUAUAGCAAGACAUUUGUUUUCCCCAGCAGAUCACCUGUUACUGCCUAGUGUUGUCAUGCUUUAUUAUUAUCACAUGCAUUCAUUAACAUUGCAUUGCAUCUUAGGAUCAAAAAUUGUGUUUUAUAUAUUUAAGUCUCUUCGAUAUUAUCAAAACGAAGAUUUCCAAUCAUCGUAUUUCCAAAUCGAAGAAACUUAAAUAGGGGCAUCUGUCAUACCCCAAUUUUUGACCCUAAGAUCCUAUAUCAUUCAUAUCUCAAUCACUAAUCAAGAGCUUCACUUGGAAGUUUUGUUUAUGGUGUUGCACUCGCCUCAUCAAUGAGAGGGACCAUCAAGCACCAAUGAUUGUUUAUCUUGUAUGCAUAUUAUACUAACCCAAAUACCAAAAAUAUUGCUUUGUUUCUUUGUAGGCUUUUGUUUUGUAGGUACCAAGCCAAGACAUGCAAUAAACAAGGCAUUUUUCAAGUUUUUGACUGAUGAAAUCGAUUUCCCUACUGGGUAAAUCGAUUUCCCUGCAGCAAUCUUCAACAAAAUCACAUUCUGGACAACAUGAAAUCGAUUUUCCUCCUGGGUAAAUCGAUUUCCCUAGUGUAUUUUGCGCCAAUUUCUCUUCUGGAACAGAGUGAAAUCGAUUUCACUCCUGGGGAAAUCGAUUUCCUUAAGGCAAAAUUCAAAAAAAUAGAGAGGGAAGCUUGAUUUGAUUUUGGCACCUAUUUUCUUUGACCAUUUUUGUCAUUCUACCAAUUUUCCACCUCAUCAAAAUAAUUCUCUUCAUUAAACCCACUUAAACCUCAUUUUACCAUUUCUUACCAUUUAAAUACCACUUUAAUCACCAAUUAAACACAAGCUAAUUACCAAAUGCAAAAAGACCAAACUACCACUACUCUUGCUCUCAUCCUAUAAAUAGAGCCCUCUACUCUCUCACUUCUCAAGCUUUGAGAGCCAAAAAAUCCCUUGCAAUUUCUCUCCUCAUCCCUACCAAAUUCACCAAAGCUUUUUUUCUUUCAUAAAGUUUGUGAGUCACAUCUUGAACCUCACAAACUUUGAGCUAAGCCACCAUCCAUUUCACUCUUUUUUCUUCAAUUGUUGAGAGAUCAAGAUUUGUAUUGGUGAUUCUUGAAGUAGAUCCAAGUUUUGUUCAAGAUUUGGUAAAUUUUCUUCAUCCUUUUAGUAUAUCAUGAUGUAGAUCCUUGUUGCUUGUGUGUGAUGCAUCUUUGAUGCUAUAUUGGUGCUAUUUGAUGGUGAUUUGAUGGAAAAUUCGUGCUCCAAUUGAUGUUUGAUCAUAAGGUGUUUGUAUAUUUGUUCAAGUCAAGUCUUAUGCUUCUAAAUGCUGUUUUUGCUGGAUUUUACACUGAGGAAAUCGAUUUCCUUAAGGCUGAAAUCGAUUUCCUGCUGAACGUAACCUGUUUU
Molecule: long non-coding RNA, 8025 nt
Organism: Vicia villosa (hairy vetch)
Lineage: Eukaryota; Viridiplantae; Streptophyta; Magnoliopsida; Fabales; Fabaceae
Exons: 3
Source: RefSeq, a predicted model, not a curated record